Molecule: ribosomal RNA, 484 nt
Filed under: uncultured bacterium
Lineage: Bacteria
Description: bacterial SSU rRNA
Rfam family: Bacterial small subunit ribosomal RNA
Source: RNAcentral
GACGAACGCUGGCGGCGUGCUUAACACAUGCAAGUCGAACGAUGAACCGCUUUCGGGCGGGGAUUAGUGGCGAACGGGUGAGUAACACGUGGGCAAUCUGCCCUGCACUCUGGGACAAGCCCUGGAAACGGGGUCUAAUACCGGAUACUCACUGCCUUGGGCAUCCAAGGUGGUGGAAAGCUCCGGCGGUGCAGGAUGAGCCCGCGGCCUAUCAGCUAGUUGGUGAGGUAAUGGCUCACCAAGGCGACGACGGGUAGCCGGCCUGAGAGGGCGACCGGCCACACUGGGACUGAGACACGGCCCAGACUCCUACGGGAGGCAGCAGUGGGGAAUAUUGCACAAUGGGCGAAAGCCUGAUGCAGCGACGCCGCGUGAGGGAUGACGGCCUUCGGGUUGUAAACCUCUUUCAGCAGGGAAGAAGCGAGAGUGACGGUACCUGCAGAAGAAGUGCCGGCUAACUACGUGCCAGCCGCCGCCGUAACAC